GACGAACGCUGGCGGCGUGCUUAACACAUGCAAGUCGAACGGAAGAGCCCUGCUUUUGUGGGGUGCUCGAGUGGCGAACGGGUGAGUAACACGUGAGUAACCUGCCCUUGACUUUGGGAUAACUUCAGGAAACUGGGGAUAAUACCGGAUAGGAGCUCCUGCUGCAUGGUGGGGGUUGGAAAGUUUCGGAGGUUGGGGAUGGACUCGCGGCUUAUCAGCUUGUUGGUGGGGUAGUGGCUUACCAAGGGUUUGACGGGUGGCCGGCCUGAGAGGUUGACCGGCCACAUUGGGACUGAGAUACGGCCCAGAGUCCUACGGGAGACAGCAGUGGGGAAUAUUGCACAAUGGGCGGAAGCCUGAUGCAGCAACGCCGCGUGCGGGAUGACGGCCUUCGGGUUGUAAACCGCUUUCGCCUGUGACGAAGCGUGAGUGACGGUAAUGGGUAAAGAAGCACCGGCUAACUACGUG
Molecule: ribosomal RNA, 468 nt
Filed under: uncultured bacterium
Lineage: Bacteria
Description: partial 16S ribosomal RNA
Rfam family: Bacterial small subunit ribosomal RNA
Source: RNAcentral